UAGAAAUUUGAAAUUUAAAAAUUAUACUUUUAAUUCAAAUUUAAAUUUUUAAUUUAAAUUUUUAUUUUAAAUUAUUUUAAAAUAAAAUUUAGUAAAAAUAUUAAUAUAUACAGGCAUCAAAAUUUUUUUGCCAAUCAGCUUUCGAAAAUCACUUUAGAAAAAUCACUUUUAUCUAAACUCAGCCAAACGCUCUAUAGCUUUACACAAAAAUCAAUUCUCCAAAUCAAAGUUACUUCUGCACAGAUCAUUUUUCUAGAAUCUAGGCCAAACAUGCCCAAAACUUGGCUACAUAGUU
Molecule: long non-coding RNA, 295 nt
Filed under: Ananas comosus (pineapple)
Lineage: Eukaryota; Viridiplantae; Streptophyta; Magnoliopsida; Poales; Bromeliaceae
Description: long non-coding RNA (ACOM_LNC004233)
Source: RNAcentral